AAUCAUCAACUGCUUUGACUUUGUUGUCAAAGUGAAGUUGGAUUUGGAGUGUUUGCUGGCCUGUCCGGCUCCUUCCAAAAGUAUAGACCUCCUUCCUCUCUUGGUAAGAAAGUAUCCCUUGACGUGAUAAUUGUCUGUGUCGUGGAGAAAGCCUUGAGUGGAGAAGGUGUGGCUUGUGGGGUUUAUAUGGCCCCCCUUAGUUUUGACCA
This 209-nucleotide unclassified non-coding RNA is filed under the name uncultured Basidiomycota. RNAcentral's name for it is "sequence contains ITS2". Lineage: Eukaryota; Fungi; Basidiomycota. The record is from RNAcentral.